GAUGAACGCUGGCGGCGUGCCUAAUACAUGCAAGUCGAGCGAACGGACGAGAAGCUUGCUUCUCUGAUGUUAGCGGCGGACGGGUGAGUAACACGUGGAUAACCUACCUAUAAGACUGGGAUAACUUCGGGAAACCGGAGCUAAUACCGGAUAAUAUUUUGAACCGCAUGGUUCAAAAGUGAAAGACGGUCUUGCUGUCACUUAUAGAUGGAUCCGCGCUGCAUUAGCUAGUUGGUAAGGUAACGGCUUACCAAGGCAACGAUGCAUAGCCGACCUGAGAGGGUGAACGGCCACAAUGGAACUGAGACAAGGUCCAGACUCCUACGGGAGGCAGCAGUAGGGAAACUUCCGGAAUGGGCGAAAGCCUGAAGGAGCAAAGCCGCGUGAGUGAUGAAGGUCUUCGGAUCGUAAAACUCUGUUAUUAGGGAAGAACAUAUGUGUAAGUAACUGUGCACAUCUUGACGGUACCUAAUCAGAAAGCCACGGCUAACUACGUG
This 497-nucleotide ribosomal RNA is filed under the name uncultured bacterium. RNAcentral's name for it is "partial 16S ribosomal RNA". It matches the Rfam family "Bacterial small subunit ribosomal RNA", at positions 28 to 507 of the family's 1533-position model. The record is from RNAcentral.